CAUGCAAGUCGAACGGUAACAGGUCUUCGGAUGCUGACGAGUGGCGAACGGGUGAGUAAUACAUCGGAACGUGCCCGAUCGUGGGGGAUAACGAGGCGAAAGCUUUGCUAAUACCGCAUACGAUCUACGGAUGAAAGCGGGGGAUCUUCGGACCUCGCGCGGACGGAGCGGCCGAUGGCAGAUUAGGUAGUUGGUGGGAUAAAAGCUUACCAAGCCGACGACCUGUAGCUGGUCUGAGAGGAUGAUCAGCCACACUGGGACUGAGACACGGCCCAGACUCCUACGGGAGGCGGCAGUGGGGAAUUUUGGACAAUGGGCGAAAGCCUGAUCCAGCCAUGCCGCGUGCAGGAUGAAGGCCUUCGGGUUGUAAACUGCUUUUGUACGGAACGAAAAGCCUCUUUCUAAUAAAGAGGGGUCAUGACGGUACCGUAAGAAUAAGCACCGGCUAACUACGUGCCAGCAGCCGCGGUAAUACGUAGGGUGCAAGCGUUAA
RNAcentral lists this ribosomal RNA (493 nucleotides) under uncultured bacterium. Its description in RNAcentral is "bacterial SSU rRNA". It matches the Rfam family "Bacterial small subunit ribosomal RNA", at positions 54 to 543 of the family's 1533-position model. The record is from RNAcentral.